AGUGAACGCUGGCGGUAGGCCUAACACAUGCAAGUCGAACGGCAGCACAGUAAGAGCUUGCUCUUACGGGUGGCGAGUGGCGGACGGGUGAGGAAUACAUCGGAAUCUACUUUUUCGUGGGGGAUAACGUAGGGAAACUUACGCUAAUACCGCAUACGACCUACGGGUGAAAGCAGGGGAUCUUCGGACCUUGCGCGAGUGAAUGAGCCGAUGUCGGAUUAGCUAGUUGGUGGGGUAAAGGCCCACCAAGGCGACGAUCCGUAGCUGGUCUGAGAGGAUGAUCAGCCACACUGGAACUGAGACACGGUCCAGACUCCUACGGGAGGCAGCAGUGGGGAAUAUUGGACAAUGGGCGCAAGCCUGAUCCAGCCAUACCGCGUGGGUGAAGAAGGCCUUCGGGUUGUAAAGCCCUUUUGUUGGGAAAGAAAAGCAGCAGGUUAAUACCCCGCUGUUCUGACGGUACCCAAAGAAUAAGCACCGGCUAACUUCGUG
RNAcentral lists this ribosomal RNA (492 nucleotides) under uncultured bacterium. RNAcentral's name for it is "partial 16S ribosomal RNA". It matches the Rfam family "Bacterial small subunit ribosomal RNA", at positions 29 to 507 of the family's 1533-position model. The record is from RNAcentral.